GCAAACAGCACUCUUAAAAUGAGUUAAGUGGAAGACAUAGGGGCAAAGGAGGUAACUUCUAUAAAGAUGGAAGCUGCUUCUGGUUCAUCAGCCAUCGUUGAUGAUAACCAGUCCUACAAUUCUCAUUAGGUGGUUCUGUUACCCCACUAUUUCCUUGGGGUCUGUUGUGCUAAGGACAGGAUUGGUUGGGUAAAGAGGUGUGGCACAAAUAACCCUCAGGAAUACAGGCCACAGAGCUAAUGAAGGGCCCCAAGGAAAGAAAAACCUGCCCAUCAGCGAUGAAUUCUCUCCCCUCAUGCCACAGACCUGAGGGCACGUGACCCAGGAAUGUGCAUCCAAAGAUAAUACUACCUUCAGAGAACUCUACUUAUAGGCUUUGGUUUUUCAAGAAAAAGUAAAAGAUUCAUGAUUCACUGAGCUCUUUCCUUGUGAGAAGAAAGACAACUCUUUUAUGUGGUGAAGUUGGACAACAGUUCCCGAGGAAGCUGAAUUCUAGCUGUUUAUUGUUAUUGGGUCUUGUACUAUGCCCUUUAUGUUGUCAUUAAUCAAUAAAUAUGUGAGGAACAAAUGAUUAGCUAGA
Piliocolobus tephrosceles (Ugandan red Colobus) is the source of this 580-nucleotide long non-coding RNA. RefSeq lists it as uncharacterized. The transcript is spliced from 3 exons. The record is from RefSeq and is a predicted model, not a curated record. Lineage: Eukaryota; Metazoa; Chordata; Mammalia; Primates; Cercopithecidae.